AGCAAUGACAGAUAAAAUCCCAGAGAAAAGAACUCACUGGUCUUGGGGCCAGCAGGAUGGUUCCAAAAGGCCUGAAGCUUUGUAGCAGCCAUUGAAACUAUUGGACAGUUCCCUGACUCUUUGGGUGAUUUCACAAUCUGCGGUCCCCAUGCAAGCAGGAAAACAAAAUAAUGUCUCAUGAGCUUUUCAUCAUAGUUUAACAAUAAAUGCUUCAAGAAAGUAACUAUCAUACUAGUAUUGGGCAUAGGGAAAAUAUAUCAAGAACAUGAUGGUACAGCAGUUUUUGCAGUCUUAAGAGAUAAAUUGCUGAUAUAAUGGUGGCGCCCGAAAAUCAAAAUGUCCAGAAUACAAGAACCCUGGAGUGCCGCAGUUCCAAACUUCCAAUACCCAACGAGUCCCAUCAACAAUGUUUUAUAACAAGCAACAGGGUUUUUCCAAACUCUGUACACGCUAUACAACAAGCAACUUGGAAUUCAGUAGUGGUACAGGGGCGGUCUCAUCACUUUUCCAUGGGCAGAAUUCUAGCUGUAUAAAAGUCAAAGGAACAGCAACUCCGGGAACGAACUGGCACUAACAGAUGGUACUACGGCCUGGGUUAAUUCAGCGAGCAAUACUGCGUAUCCAGGUAUCAGGUGCUGCGGCCGCUUCAGCUAACGGAAAAUGUUAGGGAAAAUAAACAGGGCGCUAGCGCAACGACCUAACCAGAAUCAAAUCCGCCGCCGGCUGCAACGUCCGGAACCCCACCCCACCCCACCCCACCCGCCGGGAACAACCCAGGCCGGGCGGUCCCAGAACGAUCGGCGCAGGCGCCCUCCGCGCCGCGAACCCGGUACGGUAGACCAGAGCUGGAUAUGCGAAGGAAGGGAUAGGAGAGGUGAGGGGGGGCGGGUUACUUUACGCUUGCUUCGCCUCCGGGCUCCGGCGACGGCGGAGGUCAGCGGGGGAGGGGAUGGCUCGGUCGGUCGGCGGCGGCGGUCUCCCUUGGGAACUGAAUCGACCUGCCGCUGGGGUGGGGUUGUUGAGGGUGAU
This 1029-nucleotide long non-coding RNA is filed under the name Setaria viridis. RNAcentral's name for it is "long non-coding RNA (SVIR_LNC006266)". The record is from RNAcentral. Lineage: Eukaryota; Viridiplantae; Streptophyta; Magnoliopsida; Poales; Poaceae.